ACGGAAGGCAGCAGUGGGGAAUAUUGGGCAAUGGGCGAAAGCCUGACCCAGCAACGCCGCGUGAAGGAAGAAGGUCUUCGGAUUGUAAACUUCUUUUAUGAGGGACGAAGGACGUGACGGUACCUCACGAAUAAGCCACGGCUAACUACGUGCCAGCAGCCGCGGUAAUACGUAGGUGGCAAGCGUUAUCCGGAUUUACUGGGUGUAAAGGGCGCGUAGGCGGGAGAGCAAGUCAGAUGUGAAAUCCAUGGGCUUAACCCAUGAACUGCAUUUGAAACUGUUCUUCUUGAGUGCUGGAGAGGUAGACGGAAUUCCUUGUGUAGCGGUGAAAUGCGUAGAUAUAAGGAAGAACACCAGUGGCGAAGGCGGUCUACUGGACAGUAACUGACGCUGAGGCGCGAAAGCGUGGGGAGCAAACAGGAUUAGAUACCCUGGUA
This 437-nucleotide ribosomal RNA is filed under the name uncultured Oscillospiraceae bacterium. RNAcentral's name for it is "partial 16S ribosomal RNA". It matches the Rfam family "Bacterial small subunit ribosomal RNA", at positions 341 to 792 of the family's 1533-position model. The record is from RNAcentral. Lineage: Bacteria; Bacillati; Bacillota; Clostridia; Eubacteriales; Oscillospiraceae.